Molecule: ribosomal RNA, 119 nt
Filed under: Pteropus alecto (black flying fox)
Lineage: Eukaryota; Metazoa; Chordata; Mammalia; Chiroptera; Pteropodidae
Source: RNAcentral
GUCUAUGUCCACACCACCCUGAACGUGCCCGAUCUCAUCUGAUCUCGGAAGCUAAGCAGGAUUGGGCCUGGAUAGUAUUUGGAUGGGAGAUCACCUAGGAAGACCAGGUGCUGUAGGCA